Molecule: long non-coding RNA, 475 nt
Organism: Myotis brandtii (Brandt's bat)
Lineage: Eukaryota; Metazoa; Chordata; Mammalia; Chiroptera; Vespertilionidae
Exons: 3
Source: RefSeq, a predicted model, not a curated record
UACUUUUUUACUGUAUGGUACUGCGUUAAACAUUUUCCUCUAUGAAGAGGAACCAAACAAAAUUUACAUAAGCAUCUAGAUUUGCUCCUUUUUCCUUGGGCGGCACAAACUCUGCAGGCUCUCGUAGGAAAUUUUUUCUUUCCACUCGCUGGAAUACACGUAGGUUCAUGCUGCUUCAUAUCACCUGACAACCUUUUGGGUGGAUCUUUACGAGGUGCUCUCCUUGCACCCCCAGGGGAAGGGCUGGACAGAUUUGUCUCUGGUUCCGGAGAGCCUUCAUUAUUGUCAUCUGUUACCCAGUCUCUCGCCACCAAUAGCAGAAACUGUUUAUACUUCAUUUUUGCUUGUGGAUUGAGGACGUUGUACACUCUAAAUGAAUUGAAAAGUCCACAGUUUAUAAGGUACAGCACUACUUUUUUUGUCCAUUUCAUCGUUUUCCUUAGAAUGGAACAACACGAAAGGAAUUGACCUGCAC